RNAcentral lists this ribosomal RNA (450 nucleotides) under uncultured Glomus. Its description in RNAcentral is "SSU rRNA". It matches the Rfam family "Eukaryotic small subunit ribosomal RNA", at positions 569 to 1025 of the family's 1831-position model. Lineage: Eukaryota; Fungi; Glomeromycota; Glomeromycetes; Glomerales; Glomeraceae. The record is from RNAcentral.
AGCAGCCGCGGUAAUUCCAGCUCCAAUAGCGUAUAUUAAAGUUGUUGCAGUUAAAAAGCUCGUAGUUGAAUUUCGGGGUUAGUAGGCUGGUCGUGCCAAUGGUAUGUACUGGCUUUACUGAUUCCUCCUUCUUGAAGAACUGUAAUGCCAUUAGUUUGGUGUUGCAGGGAAUCAGGACUGUUACUUUGAAAAAUUAGAGUGUUUAAAGCAGGCUUACGCUUGAAUACAUUAGCAUGGAAUAAUGAAAUAGGACGUUGAUUCUAUUUUGUUGGUUUCUAGGAUUGACGUAAUGAUUAAUAGGGAUAGUUGGGGGCAUUAGUAUUCAAUUGUCAGAGGUGAAAUUCUUGGAUUUAUUGAAGACUAACUACUGCGAAAGCAUUUGCCAAGGAUGUUUUCAUUAAUCAAGAACGAAAGUUAGGGGAUCGAAGACGAUCAGAUACCGUCGUAGUC